Non-coding RNA from Myotis lucifugus (little brown bat), 75 nucleotides. The record is from Rfam. NCBI's taxonomy places the organism in Eukaryota, Metazoa, Chordata, Mammalia, Chiroptera, Vespertilionidae.
AGUGGUUCUCAGGUGACACACCCCAGAAUCAGGCUCCCUCCUCUCUGGUUCUGGGUGCAUCACCCAAGAAGUGCA